Molecule: ribosomal RNA, 885 nt
Filed under: uncultured bacterium
Lineage: Bacteria
Description: bacterial SSU rRNA
Rfam family: Bacterial small subunit ribosomal RNA
Source: RNAcentral
AGAGUUUGAUCCUGGCUCAGGAUGAACGCUAGCGGCGCGCCUUAUGCAUGCAAGUCGAACGGUCUCUCGCAAGAGAGAUAGUGGCAAACGGGUGAGUAAUAGAUAAAUAACCUGCCUUUAAGUGGGGGAUAACACUUCGAAAGAAGUGCUAAUACCGCAUAUGAUGCUCUUUCAUAAGAAGGAUCAUUAAAACCGCAAGGUGCUUGAAGAGGGGUUUGUCUCCGAUUAGCUAGCUGGUGGGGUAACGGCCUACCAAGGCAAUGAUCGGUAGCUGGUCUGAGAGGAUGGUCAGCCACACUGGAACUGAGACACGGUCCAGACUCCUACGGGAGGCAGCAGCAAGGAAUCUUGGGCAAUGGGCGAAAGCCUGACCCAGCGACGCCGCGUGAGGGAUGACGGCCUUCGGGUUGUAAACCUCUUUUCUCAGGGAAGAAUAAUGACGGUACCUGAGGAAUAAGUCUCGGCUAACUACGUGCCAGCAGCCGCGGUAAUACGUAGGAGGCGAGCGUUAUCCGGAUUUAUUGGGCGUAAAGUGGGCGUAGGUGGUCUUUCAAGUCAGAUGUGAAAUCUCCCGGCUCAACUGGGAGGGGUCAUCUGAUACUGUUGGACUUGAGUAUGGCAGGAGAAAACGGAAUUCCCGGUGUAGUGGUGAAAUGCGUAGAUAUCGGGAGGAACACCAGAGGCGAAGGCGGUUUUCUAGGCCAAAACUGACACUGAGGCCCGAAAGCGUGGGGAGCGAACAGGAUUAGAUACCCUGGUAGUCCACGCCCUAAACACUGGGUACUAGGUAUAGGGAGUAUCGACCCUUUCUGUGCCGAAGCUAACGCUUUAAGUACCCCGCCUGGGGAGUACGGUCGCAAGACUAAAACUCAAAGGAAUUGACGG